This 205-nucleotide long non-coding RNA is filed under the name Bos taurus (domestic cattle). RNAcentral's name for it is "long non-coding RNA NONBTAT025176". The record is from RNAcentral. Lineage: Eukaryota; Metazoa; Chordata; Mammalia; Artiodactyla; Bovidae.
GUAGAAAAUGUCUUAGCUACUCUAGACUAAACUAAACAAAACUAUAAUUUUCCUUUUAACUGUAGCUUUUGUUUCUAAUUGAAGCCCCUAAAUAAUAAAUCUCAUAUUAAAAAUGAAUAAAAAGUAUCUGAAACCAUGUUUAAACCUCUGCUAAUGGCACAAACCAAACUGAUUAAGUAGGCUGAUUAUCUUCUGAUGGUUCUUU